GCACUUAAGACGGCUAAGAAAGCUGAUAUUUUCUGAUAUUCCUUAGGAAUCUCAGUCAGAUUUCUGCGUCUGUUUUUCUUCCUAGACAGUGACCGUCGGUCUGCCAUGAGUCUCCAACCCUGUUUCUUCAUCCUCUGUUUCAUCUCUAGGCAGAUUUCUCGAAUGGCAACAACUUGAUUCCUCCAAUUCCACCUCUCUUUUCU
RNAcentral lists this unclassified non-coding RNA (203 nucleotides) under Hevea brasiliensis (rubber tree). Lineage: Eukaryota; Viridiplantae; Streptophyta; Magnoliopsida; Malpighiales; Euphorbiaceae. The record is from RNAcentral.